This is a long non-coding RNA of Oreochromis niloticus (Nile tilapia), 1623 nucleotides long. RefSeq lists it as uncharacterized. The record is from RefSeq and is a predicted model, not a curated record. NCBI's taxonomy places the organism in Eukaryota, Metazoa, Chordata, Actinopteri, Cichliformes, Cichlidae. The transcript has 3 exons.
CUCCAAGGCCAUUGUGUUGACAAAUGGCGGUGUGCAGUUUGGGCAGAGCUUCAGAGCUGAGUCUUCCUUUAAAACUGAAGCCAGUGCAGAUAUCCAUUCCACUUUAUUAACCAGUAACUGAAGCAGUGGUAAGGCUGACUGCUCUCAGAAAAAGAACCAUUGUGACAUUUUAAUUUGAAAUUAUGAUCCCGGGUGUGCUGGGUGACAAAAUUACUAAUGUCAAAGUAAUUAGUGAGGUUGAAAAUGGACCAACAGACUCGGAAAAUGAAAAUGGUCUUUGGAAAUGAAUCAAUAAGACAGAGAAUGCACUGACCAUUAAAGGAACAAAUGAGGUUAAGGCAGAGCCGAUUGAAAUCACAGAUGAAGUCAGCACUCUGCUUUUUGAAAGUGACACAGCAGAACUGUCAGCAGGCGGCAACCCAGGGAACUGAGAUAAAAACAAAAGCAUUUCAAACGAUAUGCAUAGUUUCACAGGAGGUUUAUCAGUUAAUGACUCGCUUCCCAGUGUCAAUCUUCUUCCUUCAAAUAAGCUCAUUGGGAUAUUGAUAGUUUGUUUCCAUGGAAAAAUUGCUUCAUAUUGUGUCUACAACUGUCUCUCUAUUAGACAUUAAUCAGAAAAUUAUUUCCAACACCAAUUUUACAAAUUAAUUGUCCUUACUUGUUUUUUCUUUAGACAGCAGCUUAAAAACAACAACAACGACAACAAAAGUUGACAGAAAACAGAAAAAGGCAACAAUCAAAUAUGUGAGAAAGUCAAACCAGAGAGUAUUUCACAGUUUUUGACUGAUUAAACAAGUUACUAAUUAUCAAAACAGUCACAGUGAUACUGGUAACAGGGAUAAACAGUUCUGGCAUUUGCUACAGACUCAUUUAGUAAAUACUGUUAAAUCUUGUCAUUCCAGAUCACUACAGGAAUGUGCGGGCAUGCAUCUCUGCCCAUAAAAGUUAAAAACUUAUGCCUGGUCUGCCCUUUAUGUGUGGUGGCCGGGGCAAUCCGGAGGUUUUUGUGUUUUACUUUACUUUCUCUCUCUCUCUCUCUGUUCUCAGGUGGAUUUAUGGGACGGCUGUUCUGGCUGGGCCCACCUGCUCUGUUUCCCAGGGUUCAGCCGUCACUUCUGUCUCUCAUCCUCUCAUCAGCGAGAAGCAUUUAAAGACCUGCUUGUGCCUUCAUUCUCCAGAUUGUUGUCAUUUCGAUGGUGUGAUUCCUGGUGGCUGAAGUUUCCUCUUUGUCAUUCCUGCAUUGCUGUGGGUAUUCCUGAGUGCAACCCCGCAGGCACUUCAACCUGUGAUCACAAGUUGGCUACCAGCUACCUAGGGAAUACUCACCUGUAACUUAGUUGUCUGCCCCACUCUUCACUGCUCUACCCCCUCCUCCCUGGACUCUUCCAGCCAUGAUUUCCCGCCAUGUUCCUGCAAUCAGACUCUUACCUGCACAAUUCCCUGCUGCUAUUUCCAGCAUUGUUAAAUUCCAAACACCUGUAAAUAAAGCUUUCAAAACGGUUGCUUUCAGAGUCAACUUUUGGUAAUUAUAACAUUAUGUUUGUCCGUUUGCAUCUCUCAACUGCUCCAAAUAUUCCUGCUACUGUACCUUUGGAUUGCUCACUACCGUCACCUUUCCAAUUA